Molecule: ribosomal RNA, 687 nt
Filed under: uncultured fungus
Lineage: Eukaryota; Fungi
Description: eukaryotic LSU rRNA
Rfam family: 5.8S ribosomal RNA (bases 236-389)
Source: RNAcentral
AGUAAAAGUCGUAACAAGGUUUCCGUAGGUGAACCUGCGGAAGGAUCAUUAACGAAUUGCGUUCGGGGUUGUUGCUGGUUUUCUUUGAAACGGGAAAGCACGUGCACGCCUCGCAAUCCAUUUCAAACCACACUUGUGCACUUCAGAGGGAGGCCUCUCUCGGCCUCUCCUCUUUCAUCACUAUAAACCACCUUAAAAGUCCUUUGUAUUUUUUGGUUAAUUAUAAUUGAAAUACAACUUUCAACAACGGAUCUCUUGGCUCUCGCAUCGAUGAAGAACGCAGCGAAAUGCGAUAAGUAAUGUGAAUUGCAGAAUUCAGUGAAUCAUCGAAUCUUUGAACGCACCUUGCGCUCCUCGGCAUUCCGAGGAGCAUGCCUGUUUGAGUGUCGUGUAAUUCUCAAUCUCGACUUGUUUGUUGUAGAUUGGAUUUGGGAGCUUGUCGUGUCUCUUCUCUUUGUGAAAAGAAAAGAGGUUGGACUCUCCUUGAAUGCAUUAGCUCGGUCACGUAGUUUGCCCGACGGUUCACGGUGUGAUAGUCUCACUUCAUCGCCGUUCCAACCGUUGGUGCCUGUGUCAUUGCCGGCUUCAAAUCUCUGGCCCUUGUAAAAGUGCCUUUACACUUUUGAUGCUUGACCUCAAAUCAGGUAGGAUUACCCGCUGAGCUUAAGCAUAUCAAUAAGCGGAGGA